GACGAACGCUGGCGGCGUGCUUAACACAUGCAAGUCGAACGGAAAGGCCUCUUUCGGGGGGUACUCGAGUGGCGAACGGGUGAGUAACACGUGAGUAACCUGCCCUUGACUUUGGGAUAACUUCAGGAAACUGGGGCUAAUACCGGAUAGGAGCUCCUGCUGCAUGGUGGGGGUUGGAAAGUUUCGGCGGUUGGGGAUGGACUCGCGGCUUAUCAGCUUGUUGGUGGGGUAGUGGCUUACCAAGGCUUUGACGGGUAGCCGGCCUGCGAGGGUGACCGGCCACAUUGGGACUGAGAUAAGGCCCAGACUCCUACGGGAGGCAGCAGUGGGGAAUAUUGCACAAUGGGUGGAAGCCUGAUGCAGCAACGCCGUGUGCGGGAUGACGGCCUUCGGGUUGUAAACCGCUUUCGCUCAUGACGAAGCUUUGUGUGACGGUAGUGGGUAAAGAAGCACCGGCUAACUACGUG
Molecule: ribosomal RNA, 467 nt
Filed under: uncultured bacterium
Lineage: Bacteria
Description: partial 16S ribosomal RNA
Rfam family: Bacterial small subunit ribosomal RNA
Source: RNAcentral